Molecule: ribosomal RNA, 986 nt
Filed under: Aceraius sp. SIK-2015
Lineage: Eukaryota; Metazoa; Arthropoda; Insecta; Coleoptera; Passalidae
Description: partial 16S ribosomal RNA
Source: RNAcentral
UAAAUAAAUAAGUAAGAUUUACUUAUUCUCGAUUUAAUAAGAGUUAUAAAGUUAUAUAUUUUUUUGUAAAAAAAAAAUUUAACAUAAUUUUAUAGAAAUUAAAUGUUAUUCGAGUAUUAAUAUAUCUAGUUUCUUAAGAAAUAAAUUUAAUUUAGAAUUUAUAAUAUAAUUUUAUAACUAUUUAUGAAAUUAUUUGUAAAUUUUAAUAAAUUUAGGGAUAAGCUUAAAUUUAAAUAUUAAAUAAUAUAUAGAUUAAUUUAAUUUACGUAGGAUUAGAAGUGUCUUUUUGUGUUAUAACAAAUUUUAAAAAUUUAGAAAAAUUUAUAUUAUUUUUUAAUUUUUAUUAAGAAAAUGUAUUAAAUGAAUUUUUAUAAGAAAUAAUGAUAAUAUUAGUAUUAAAUAUAUUUUUAAAUUUAUUAAUAAAAGGUAAGGUAAUAUAAAAGAAUUCGGCAAAUUUUAUUCUUGCCUGUUUAAUAAAAACAUGGUUUUUUGAAAAUAAUAUAAAAUUUAACCUGCUCAAUGAAUUUUAAAUAGCUGCAGUAUACUAACUGUACGAAGGUAGCAUAAUCAUUUGUUAUUUAAUUGAUAACUAGUAUGAAAGGUUGGACAAGGGAUUGACUGUUUCUAUAUUAAUUAUAAAUAACUUUAUUUUUAAGUAAAAAAGCUUAAAUUUUUUUAAAAGACGAGAAGACCCUAUAGAAUUUUAUAUAAUAGUUAUAAUUUUAGAUUAGGAAUUUUAUAAAAUUAUAUAAAUUAUAUUUGAUUGGGGCGAUUGAAAAAUUUGAUAAACUUUUUUAGAUAAUUUUCAUUAAUGGAUGUUUUUUUGAUUCAAUAAAUUGAUUAAUAGAAUAAAUUACCUUAGGGAUAACAGCGUAAUUUCUAAUAAAGAUCUCAUUGAAAUAAAAGAUUGCGACCUCGAUGUUGGAUUAAAAUUAAUUUUGGGUGAAGGAGCUUAAAGAUUAGGUCUGUUCGACCUUUAAAAUUUU